RNAcentral lists this ribosomal RNA (406 nucleotides) under uncultured bacterium. RNAcentral describes it as "partial 16S ribosomal RNA". It matches the Rfam family "Bacterial small subunit ribosomal RNA", at positions 30 to 526 of the family's 1533-position model. The record is from RNAcentral.
AUUGAACGCUGGCGGCAGGCCUAACACAUGCAAGUCGAACGAGUGGCGGACGGGUGAGUAAUGUCUGGGAAACUGCCCGAUGGAGGGGGAUAACUACUGGAAACGGUAGCUAAUACCGCAUACCAUCGGAUGUGCCCAGGUGGGGUUAGCUAGUAGGUGGGGUAACGGCGACCAUAGGCGACGAUCCCCAGCUGGUCUGAGAGGAUGACGAGCCACACUGGAACUGAGACACGGUCCAGAAUCCUACGAGAGGCAGCAGGGGGGAAUAUUGCACAAUGGGCGCAAGCCUGAUGCAGCCAUGCAGCGGGUAUUAAGAAGGCCUUCGGGUUGUAAAGUACUUUCAGCGAGGAGGCGUUACUCGCAGAAGAAGCACCGGCUAACUCCGUGCCAGCAGCCGCGGUAAUUC